Struthio camelus australis is the source of this 2165-nucleotide long non-coding RNA. Ensembl annotates it as unconventional myosin-XVI-like. NCBI's taxonomy places the organism in Eukaryota, Metazoa, Chordata, Aves, Struthioniformes, Struthionidae. The record is from Ensembl.
UAAAGCUGUCUUAAAACAUUUUUCUCAGAAAAUGACAGUCAAAGUGACCACUUUUGACUGCUUUUCUUUUUUAGGGUGGGGAAUGGUUUCUUAGCUUGGGGAUGGAAAGUCUGGCAUGGGAUCAUGAUCGAUAGAUCAAACUCCUGAGAGUCUGAGCAAGUCAGAGAUCCAUCUAUAAAUCCUAUAGGUGCAUAUCUGCACCUCUUCUGGCAGAAGAUAAAGGCUGUUUCCAGCUAUGUAAUGUUUUUCGAUCACAUGACAUGGAAAUUGACCAGUGUUUGCUGGAGUCCCUCCCUCUCGGCCAGCGGCAGCGGCUGGUGAAGCGCAUGCGCUGUGAUCAAAUAAAGGCGUACUAUGAACGAGAGAAGGCUUUGCAGAAACGGGAAGGUUAUGCCCAAAAACUGAAACAUGGAAAGAAUCACCGAGUCCGUUUCAAUCUUGCUGAUAUGAUACAGGAUGCGAUCGUACAUCAUGAUGAUAAAGAAGUGCUACGGCUAUUGAAGGAUGGUGCCGACCCUCAUACAUUCAUUUCCUCAGGAGGCUCCUUGCUCCAUCUGUGUGCCCGCUAUGAUAAUGCAUUUGCUGCAGAAAUUCUAAUUGACAGAGGAGUAAAUGUAAAUCAUCAGGACGAGGAUUUUUGGACCUCAAUGCACGUAGCCUGUGCAUGUGAUAAUCCUGAUAUUGUCCUGCUACUGCUACUAGCUGGAGCAAAUGUGCUGCUGCAAGAUGUUAAUGGAAACAUUGCACUUGAUUAUGCCAUAGAAGGGACUGAAUCCAGCAGCAUCCUUCUGAUGUACUUGGAAGAAAAUGGUGUAGAUCUGAAUUCGUUGCGCCAAAUGAAGAUACAGAGACCUAUGACAAUGCUUACAGAUGUCCGACAACUCAUAUCAAGUGGAGGAAGUGUGAAUCAAAAGAAUGAUGAAGGAGUUACACUGCUUCACAUGGCCUGUGCAAAUGGAUACAGGAAUGUGGCGUCUCUGAUCCUGGAUCAUGGGGCUGAUCUCAAUGCAGUGGAUAAUCAGUACUGGACACCUCUUCAUUUAGCUGCAAAGUAUGGGCAGACAAACCUUGUGAAGCUGCUUUUGAUGCACUGGGCAAAUCCCAAUCUUCUUAACUGCAAUAAUGAAAAGCCUUCAGAUAUUGCAGCUUCUGAGUUUAUUGAGGAAAUGCUUCUAAAGGCUGAAAUUGUCUGGGAGGAAAAAAUGAAAGACCCUUUAUCUGUUUCUACUUUAUCUCAAGAAGAGCCAUAUGAAGAGAUCAUCCAUGAUCUGCCCACACUUUCCAAUAAACUCAAUCCCCUGGCUUUACCGAUUGCCAAGCAAGACAGUUUGCUGGAGAAAGACACCAUGUUUAAAGAUGCAGCUAAAGGUUUGUGUAAGCAGCAAUCUCAAGACAGUGCAUCUGAAAAUGUCGCAGUGAACAGUACAAGCAAACUUGAACAGGUAAUGCAUCUAAUGCCUCCAGCUCCGAAUGAUGACCUGGCUUCUUUGAGUGAGCUAACAGACAGCAGCCUGCUUUAUGAGAUCCAAAAGCGUUUCAAUAAUAAUCAGAUAUAUACCUACAUUGGUGAUAUACUGCUGCUUGUUAACCCAUUUAAAGAACUUCCUAUUUAUUCUACUAUGGUCACUCAACUUUACUUAAGCAACUCUGGAAAACUGUGUUCCUCGCUUCCUCCACAUAUAUUUUCCUGUGCCGAAAGAGCUUACCACAUGCUAUUCCAGGAGCAGCGUCCCCAGUGCUUUAUCCUCAGUGGAGAAAGUGGUUCUGGAAAGACAGAAGCCUGCAAACAGAUAGUGAAGCACCUCACUUGCAGAGCCAGCUCCAGCGGAAAUACCUUUGAUACCAAGAUAAAACAUGUAAACUGUAUCUUGGAGGCCUUUGGACAUGCUAAGACACCCCUGAAUGAUUUGACCAGCUGUUUUAUAAAAUAUUUUGAGCUGCAGUUUUGUGAGAAGAAAAAAACGUUAUCUGGAGCUAGGAUUUAUACGUACAUGUUGGAGAAGUCUCGUGUCAUUAUGCAACCUCUCAACCAGAGCAAUUUUCAUGUGUUUUAUUUGAUGAUGGAUGGGCUGUCUGCUGAAGAAAAGUACGCGUUGUACCUCAGUAAUUUGUCUGCACACAGCGUGAACAGAACCAGCUUUUGCGGUUUUGUGAACUUUUUUUAA